This is an RNA transcript of Ziziphus jujuba (common jujube), 3135 nucleotides long. RefSeq lists it as uncharacterized. The transcript is spliced from 19 exons. NCBI's taxonomy places the organism in Eukaryota, Viridiplantae, Streptophyta, Magnoliopsida, Rosales, Rhamnaceae. The record is from RefSeq and is a predicted model, not a curated record.
GAGGUUUUAGGAUCGUAGUGUCAGACUCUUUGCCAAGCACGAAGACAGGGAUGGGGAAGAAGAAGAGGAGCAAAGACGGUGGCGAAGCCGGAAGCCAAAGCGAGUAUUCCUCCGCCACCGUGUUCGUCUCCAAUUUUCCGUACUCAUUCACCAACUCUCAGCUGGAAGAAACUUUCAGCGAUGUUGGACCGAUUAGACGCUGUUUUAUGGUUACGCAGAAAGGGUCAACUGAACACCGUGGUUUUGGUUUCGUUCAAUUUGCUGUUACAGAAGAUGCUAAUCGAGCUAUUGAACUGAAGAAUGCUUCUUCUAUUGGGGGUAGGAAAGUUUCAGUUAAACAUGCUAUACACCGUGCACCACUUGAGCAGCGGCGAUUGAAGACAAGUCAAGCAAUUCAAUUGGAUGGUACCCAUAAGCUAAAGACUGACAAGGAUGGUGGGGGUUCCAGGGCAGGAAAAGCUGCUUCAAACUUGGAGGAACAAGUUCCUUUGGAGAAAAAUUCAGAGCAACCUGUGGAGUCUGGAAAAGCAUCAACGCGUAAAAAUAAUCUGAAUGAUAAAGAAGGUUCUUCAGAAAAACAAAGGGUUGCAAGGACUGUCAUAUUUGGUGGUCUUCUUGAUGCUGAGAUUGCGGAGGAGGUUCAUUGCCAAGCUAGGGAGAUUGGUGCUGUAUGUUCUAUAACUUAUCCUCUACCAGAAGAAGAACUCAAUAAACAUGGUCUAAUGCAAGAUGGGUGCAAAAUGGAUGCUUCAGCUGUUCUUUAUACAAGUGUUAGAUCAGCAUGUGCUGCUGUUGCAACGUUGCACCAAAAAGAGAUUAAAGGAGGAGUUGUCUGGGCACGUCAACUGGGUGGAGAGGGCUCCAAGACUCGGAAAUGGAAGCUUAUUGUUAGAAAUCUUCCUUUCAAGGCCAAGGUGAAUGAGAUUAAAGACAUGUUUUCACCAGCAGGGUUUGUCUGGGAUGUGUUUAUUCCACAUAAUUCUGAUACAGGAUUAUCUAAGGGUUUUGCAUUUGUCAAAUUCACUUCCAAACAGGAUGCGGAAAAUGCAAUCCAAAAAUUCAAUGGCCAAAAGCUGCAUAAAAGACCCAUUGCCGUUGAUUGGGCAGUGUCUAAGAAAAUAUAUAGCAGCGGCAAUAAUGCUAUUCUUGGUUUAGAAAAUGGAGAACAGAAUGCAAGAGAUAGGGAAAAUGACAGUAGUGAUUCAGGUGAUGAUAAUGCAUCAGAUGGUCCUGAUACAACAGAGAAAGAAGACAACCCUGCAGACAUUGAUUUUGAUGAGGAAGCUGACCUAGCGAGGAAGGUUCUGAAGAACUUAUUAACAUCAUCCACUAACAAAACUUUUUCUUCUGCUGAUGAUGAUUCUGCACUUCUCAAGGAGAGUGGGGAAUCAAAUAUUGAUGUAUCUGUUGAAGUGCCCAAUGGUUUAUCUGAUGAGUCUGCAAAAGCAGUACAUGUUACUGAGCCUGAGAAGUCCAUCAAAAGCAAGGGAUCAACUCAUAAAGAUGGAGAAGAUGAUUUGAGUAGAACAAUUUUCAUAAGUAACCUUCCCUUUGAUAUUGACAAUGAAGAAGUUAGAGAACGAUUUUCUACUUUUGGGGAAGUGCAAUCCUUUCUCCCAGUUCUUCAUCAAGUCACAAAGCGACCUAGAGGAACAGGUUUCCUCAAGUUUAAAACAGUUGAUGCAGCUGCUGCUGCUGUUUCAGCUGCUAAUGCUGCUUCUGGCUUGGGAAUCCUUUUGAAAGGUAGGCCGUUGAAAAUCAUGAAGGCUUUGGAUAAGAAGUCAGCUCAUGACAUGGAAAUGAAGAAGGCCAAAAGUGAGGAUCAUGAUAAUCGCAAUCUUUACCUGGCAAAGGAAGGUCUCAUUGUUGAAGGAACUCCAGCUGCAGAAGGUGUUUCGGCUAGUGAUAUGUUAAAACGCCAAGCGUUGGAAAGGAAGAAGACGAUGAAGCUUCAAUCCCCAAAUUUUCAUGUCUCAAAGACUAGACUUGUUAUUUACAACUUGCCAAAGUCAGUGACAGAAAAAGAUCUUAAAAAGCUUUGUAUUGAUGCAAUUACCUCACGAGCUACAAAGCAAAAACCAACAAUUCAACAGAUAAAGUUCAUGAAGGAUUUGAAGAAAGGAAAGGAGGUUUCAAAGAAUUAUUCUCGUGGAGUUGCUUUUGUUGAGUUCUCUGAGCAUCAGCAUGCACUUGUGGCCCUGAGAGUUCUUAACAAUAAUCCUGAAACUUUUGGUCCUGAGCAUCGUCCAAUUGUAGAGUUUGCACUUGAUAAUGUUCAAACAUUGAAGCUACGGAAAGCCAGGCUGCAAGCUCUGCGACAGGAGCCCCAUGAUGAUCCAAAAGAUGUGCAGCAAACAAAUGACGCAAAAAAGGGACCAAAUUCCCUCCUGAAAAGAAAGAAGUCUGGAAAACAAAAAUUUGAAGGUGAGAAACAAGCACUCAACAAUUCAAAACCGAAUAAAGAAAACGAGCUGGAUAGGGUUGCCAAUAUGGCUGCCAAAGAAGGGGAGGUGGGUUCGAAGAGGCGGAAAAGUAAUUUGGCAAAAGGAAAGGCCAAAAAGUUCUCAUCAACUGAUGUGUCAGGAGGCUCAAAAGAGAAGGCGGACACUUCCAAAGUAAAUCCAGAUGACAAGAAACAUGCUAGGAUUCCCAUUGUUAACAAACAAUUAAACUCUUCGGAGACAAAUGUGCAACCGAAAAAGAGGAUGCAGCCAGAAGAACCAGGUAUUGAGAAGGGAGAGAAAAAUUUGAAGAAAAGAAGAAGGUCAAACAAGAAACAAGAUCAAUCAGGGCGAGAUGUGGUAGAUAAGCUUGACAUGCUUAUUGAACAAUAUAGGUCCAAAUAUUCACAACAUGGUUCCAACCAAACUGAUGGUGAGAAGCAAGGCUCUAGACAGCUUCGGAAGUGGUUCCAAACUUAAUUUUCUUUCGGCCGCUUUUGCAGCAUUUCUUCAGAGAUUCCUUGAUAGGGAGUAGCAACUGUUGUAUACGAAAUGGUCGCUUCUCGUCAAGGUUUCAAGAUGUAUAAUUUGAUCUACAUUCUGGACACAACGACCAUUCGAAACCUAUCAUUUUGUUAUACCCAAAAACAAAAACUAUCAUUUUGUACCAUCGGAGGAUUGAAAUAUGGCUGCU